AUCACUGGUGUUCGGGUUGUCAUGCCAAUGGCACUGCCCGGUAGCUAAAUGCGGAAGAGAUAAGUGCUGAAAGCAUCUAAGCACGAAACUUGCCCCGAGAUGAGUUCUCCCUGAGACUUAGAGUCUCCUGAAGGAACGUUGAAGACGACGACGUUGAUAGGCCGGGUGUGUAAGCGCAGCGAUGCGUUGAGCUAACCGGUACUAAUGAACCGUGAGGCUUAACCUUACAACGCCGAAGCUGUU
This 243-nucleotide ribosomal RNA is filed under the name Escherichia coli. RNAcentral's name for it is "partial 23S ribosomal RNA". It matches the Rfam family "Bacterial large subunit ribosomal RNA", at positions 2705 to 2925 of the family's 2925-position model. The record is from RNAcentral. Lineage: Bacteria; Pseudomonadati; Pseudomonadota; Gammaproteobacteria; Enterobacterales; Enterobacteriaceae. RNAcentral also lists the same sequence under 1 other name.